This 1684-nucleotide long non-coding RNA is filed under the name Macaca fascicularis (crab-eating macaque). RNAcentral describes it as "lncRNA (ENSMFAG00000054775.1)". Lineage: Eukaryota; Metazoa; Chordata; Mammalia; Primates; Cercopithecidae. The record is from RNAcentral.
ACUGCACGUAGGCCUCCAUUCUUGAUUUUGCCCUAGGCUCUGCAAGUGUUAGGGGCAGGCCUGCACUAACAACACUGGAAGAGAAUCCUGUUAGAUAAUAGGAUCCUCUUAGAUCCCCCACUUUGCAGAGGAAGAUGCUGAGGCUCCAGGAACGUCAAUGGCUGAAAGUCACAAGACUUCCAAGGGGCACAACUGGGAACUGAGCUCAGGUCUGCCUGACCCAGAGGCCAUGCUCUUGUCUAUGUGAUAUGGAUGAGGCAGAGAGGAGGCUGCAGGCAAUGCUGCCCCAGAUCCAGGCACGAAGAGUCUUUGCCUGGGGCCUUGUACUUUAGACAGCACAUACACCACAAGCACACACGUGUGUUAAAGCAGCGGCCCCCGACCUUUUGGGCACCAGGGACAAGUUUCGGUGGAAGACAACUUUUCCACGGACAGUGGGGCAGGGCGAGAUGAUUUGGGGAUGAAACUGUAGUUACAUUCUGAUAAGGAGCACACAACCUAGAUUCCUCCCAUGUAUAGUUCACAACAAGGUUCUCAUUCCAAUGGAAUUCCAAUGCCACCUCUGAUCUGACAGGAGGCAGAGCUCAGGUGGUCACAUUCACUUGCCCCACGGCCUGGUUCCCAACAGGUCACCGACCAGUACUGCAGCCCUGGGGUUGGGGAAGCCCCUAUUAAAGAAUACUUGGGGACCCUGUCACUCAGGAUCUUGUAUUUGCCAUUACAGUGUGGUCAAGUAAUCCUAAACAUCUUCUCUAGUGACUAACACUGUUCAGGCCCUGGGAAACACUUCUCCAUCUCUUGCCCUAUGUCCUCAAAACAAAGAGUGACUAUAUUUGAAUGCCAGGAUGGUUUUAUAGAUUGUCCCAAUGCUGAUGUCAGAGAUAGACACUGUCUUCAAAGUACAGGGAGGAUUUAAGUGUAGAAAUUAGAAAAAAGACAAAUUAAUAAACUCAUCAAAUCCUCCUCAAAAAGCAUGAAUGCAACCGACUCUCAUGUCACACAUCAUUUCCCAUGAGAGUGACUUGUCCAUUUCCUUGCUUUUUUUGUUUUCCAAUUUGUGUUUCCAGAAUAUUUAUGAUUUUAUGCUAAUUGCAGAAGCUGCACAAGGCAACUGAGGAAUGUUUUGUAAUAUUAAGCAAUUCAUAUUAUUCACAUAAAUUCAUAUUACUCUUAAAUUGGUGUAGAUAGAGCUAUAGCUAUAGAUAAAUAUACAGAUAUACAUACUAUGGACUGAAUGUCUGUGUGCCCCCAAAAUUCGUAUGUUGAAGCCUAAAUCCCCAGUGUGAUGGUAUUUGGAGGAGGGGCUUUUAGGAGGUGAUUAGGUUGUAGAGUCGAGUCCUCAUGAAUAGAAUCAGUGACCUUAUAAGAAGAGAUGGGCUGGGCCCAGUGGCUCAUGCCUAUAAUCUCAGCACUUUGGGAGGCCAAGGCAGGCAGAUUGCUUGAGCCCAGGAGUUCGGGACCAGCCUGGGCAACAUGGGAAAACCCCAUCUCUAAAAAAAAAUACAAAAAUUAGCCAGGCAUAGUGGCACACACCUGUAGUCUCAGCUACUCAGGAGGCAGGGGUGGAAGGAUUGCUUAAGCCCAGGAGGCAGAGGAGGAGGUUGCAGUGAGCUGUGUUUUUGCCACUGCACUCCAGGCUGGGCAACAGAGUGAGACCUUGUCUCAAAAAAAAAAAAAAAAAAAA